This 1009-nucleotide ribosomal RNA is filed under the name metagenome. Its description in RNAcentral is "bacterial LSU rRNA". It matches the Rfam family "Bacterial large subunit ribosomal RNA", at positions 1919 to 2925 of the family's 2925-position model. The record is from RNAcentral.
CCCAGUAAACGGCGGCCGUAACUAUAACGGUCCUAAGGUAGCGAAAUUCCUUGUCAGGUAAGUUCUGACCCGCACGAAUGGCGUAACGACUUGAGAGCUGUCUCAACAACAUACCCGGCGAAAUUGAAGUACUGGUAAAGAUGCCAGUUACCCGUGAUAAGACGGAAAGACCCCAUGGAGCUUUACUGUAACUUGAUAUUGAAUUUUUGUAUUACAUGUACAGGAUAGGUGGGAGACAGAGAACUAAUGCCGCCAGGUGUUAGGGAGUCGAUGUUGGGAUACCACUCUUGUAAUAUGAAGGUUCUAACCUGCACCCGUGAAUCCGGGUGGGGGACACUGUCAGGUGGACAGUUUGACUGGGGCGGUCGCCUCCUAAAAGGUAACGGAGGCGUUCAAAGGUUGGUUCAGCACGGACGGAAAUCGUGCAACGAGUGCAAACGCAUAAACCAGCCUAACUGCGAGACCGACAAGUCGAGCAGUAACGAAAGUUGGAGUUAGUGAUCCGGCGGUAUGAGAGUGGAAUUGCCGUCGCUCAACGGAUAAAAGCUACCCUGGGGAUAACAGGCUGAUCUCCCCCAAGAGUCCACAUCGACGGGGAGGUUUGGCACCUCGAUGUCGGCUCAUCGCAUCCUGGAGCUGUAGUCGGUUCCAAGGGUUGGGCUGUUCGCCCAUUAAAGCGGUACGCGAGCUGGGUUCAGAACGUCGCGAGACAGUUCGGUCCCUAUCUAUCACGGGCGUAGGAAAUUUGAGGAGAGCUGACCUUAGUACGAGAGGACCGGGUUGGACGUACCGCUGGUGCACCUGUUGUUCUGCCAAGGGCAUAGCAGGGUAGCUAAGUACGGACGGGAUAAACGCUGAAGGCAUCUAAGCGUGAAGCCCCCUUCGAGAUAAGAUUUCCCAUAGCGUAGGCUAGUAAGGACCCAUGAAGACUACAUGGUUGAUAGGCCGGAGGUGGAAGUGCAGUAAUGUAUGUAGCUGACCGGUACUAAUAGUCCGAGGGCUUGACCAA